RNAcentral lists this ribosomal RNA (2441 nucleotides) under freshwater metagenome. Its description in RNAcentral is "bacterial LSU rRNA". The stretch from base 843 to 2441 matches the Rfam family "Bacterial large subunit ribosomal RNA". The record is from RNAcentral.
ACCUAUUACAUGGGAGUAGUUCCUUAUUUAGGUUUUCUAAUCACUUUAGGUUCUUGUUAUCGUUUGGCAAAUUUUAAUGUAGAUGAAAGACAAACGGAUUCUUUCAUUGGUCUUCCUACACCAGCUAAUGCUAAAGGUGUUCUAGACUCAGCAGAUAGAAGUUUUAGAUUUACUCCUGCUGACCUAAACGAAGACCCAAAUAUUCUUCCUUUCGAAAUCACUAAGAUUCGUAACGGUAAGAGUAUGAAGUUUAAUGUGCACAUGAACUGGGAUUGUCUAAAGGUAAUACCUGAAAAAAGCACAGAAGUUAUAGGCGGUAAGAUACUAAACAAGUACGGAAACGACACGAAAGAAAAUGUAGGUGAUUUAGGAUGAUAGCAGUGAUAGGCGAUGUAAUGCUUGAUGAGUACAUAUAUGGCAGCUCAACUCGCAUGUCUCCUGAAUGCGACACAGCACCUGUAGUAGUUAUAAACCCACCUAUAACAUCUAUAGGCGGAGCAGGAAACACAGCCUUAAAUAUACACUACUUAGACGGCGAUGUUAAACUAUACUGUGCAGCAAAUCAAGAUAGCGAACUUGUUAAUCUUAUUUAUACCUCUGGUAUUAAGUAUCAUAUAAACAAUAAUCAAUCUACUGACGUAGUAAAAAGACGUAUAUAUAGCAAUGGGCAAUAUUUAGCUAGGCUUGAUAUUGAUUCUAGAAUAAGACACUAUGAAGCUGGAUUAGUAGACGCGAUGAUAAAAGACUCGCCUAAGAUAGUGUUAAUCAGUGAUUAUGGCAAAGGUACUAUAAAAAAUCCUUCAUACAUAAUACAACAAGCCCGAGAUGCAGGAGCCAUAGUUCUUGUAGAUUCUAAGAGUAAUCUAUAUGACUUCAAAGGUGCAACAGUUAUCAAACCUAAUCUCAAAUAGUUCUUUGAGUGGGCAGGCAUUUUACAGCCUAAAGACAUAGACGAAUCAGAUAAUGCUAAGGCCGAGAAGCUUUUUGGACGUAAGUUCAAAGAGUGGAUCCGCUGACCCGGUUCUGUAGUAGUUUAGCAAUGGUGUGACACAGGAAGGCAGUCCAGCCCGGGCGAUGGUUGUCCCGGGGUAAGGUUGUAGCGAGAUACGUAGGCAAAUCCGCGUAUCGUUUAAGUGAGAACUGAUGCCGAGCCGUAAGGCGAAGUGGAUGAUCCUAUGCUGUCAAGAAAAGCAUCUAGCGAGAAUAUGAGUGACCCGUACCCGAAACCGACACAGGUGGUCAGGUAGAGAAUACCAAGGCGAUCGAGAUAAUUGUGGAUAAGGAACUCGGCAAAAUGCCCCCGUAACUUCGGGAGAAGGGGGGCCCUUUGACGUGUAGGAGUUUUCCUCCGAAGCGUUGGAAGGCCGCAGAGACCAGGCUCAAGCGACUGUUUACCAAAAACACAGGUCCGUGCGAAGUAGCAAUACGAUGUAUACGGACUGACGCCUGCCCGGUGCUGGAAGGUUAAGGGGACUGGUUAGCCGCAAGGCGAAGCUGAGAACUUAAGCCCCAGUAAACGGCGGUGGUAACUAUAACCAUCCUAAGGUAGCGAAAUUCCUUGUCGGGUAAGUUCCGACCUGCACGAAUGGCGUAACGACUUGAGCGCUGUCUCAUCCGUAAACUCGGCGAAAUUGCAGUACGAGUAAAGAUGCUCGUUACGCGCAGAAAGACGGAAAGACCCCGGGACCUUUACUAUAUCUUGAUAUUGGUGUUCGGAACGGUUUGUGUAGCAUAGGUGGGAGACUUUGAAGCGGGCACGCCAGUGUUUGUGGAGUCAUCGUUGAAAUACCACUCUGAUCGUUUUGAACUUCUAACCUCGGUCCAUAAUCUGGAUCAGGGACAGUGUCUGGUGGGUAGUUUGACUGGGGCGGUCGCCUCCUAAAAAGUAACGGAGGCGCUCAAAGGUUCCCUCAGCCUGGUUGGCAAUCAGGUGUCGAGUGUAAGUGCACAAGGGAGCUUAACUGUGAGACAGACAUGUCGAGCAGGUGCGAAAGCAGGAACUAGUGAUCCGGCGGUGGCUUGUGGAAGCGCCGUCGCUCAACGGAUAAAAGGUACCCCGGGGAUAACAGGCUGAUCUUGCCCAAGAGUCCAUAUCGACGGCAAAGUUUGGCACCUCGAUGUCGGCUCGUCUCAUCCUGGGGCUGGAGUAGGUCCCAAGGGUUGGGCUGUUCGCCCAUUAAAGAGGCACGCGAGCUGGGUUCAGAACGUCGUGAGACAGUUCGGUCCCUAUCUUCUGUGCGCGUAAGAAACUUGAGAAGGGCUGACCCUAGUACGAGAGGACCGGGUCGGACGAACCUCUGGUGUGUCGGUUGUUCCGCCAGGAGCACCGCCGAUUAGCUACGUUCGGAAGGGAUAACCGCUGAAAGCAUCUAAGCGGGAAGCUCGCUUCAAGAUUAGGUUUCCCACUGGUUUACCAGGUAAGACCCCCAAGAGACUAUUGG